This 455-nucleotide ribosomal RNA is filed under the name uncultured marine eukaryote. RNAcentral describes it as "SSU rRNA". It matches the Rfam family "Eukaryotic small subunit ribosomal RNA", at positions 616 to 1073 of the family's 1831-position model. The record is from RNAcentral.
UGGUUAAAAAGCUCGUAGUUGGAUCUCAACAGCCUUGAAGCGGUUAACUUUGUAGUUUUACUGCUUUAUAGGCUGUGCUUUUGCUGGAGGUUUAGGGGUGCUCUUGAUCGAGUGUCUCUGGAUGCCAGCAGGUUUACUUUGAAAAAAUUAGAGUGCUCAAAGCAGGCUAAAAUGCCUGAAUAUUCGUGCAUGGAAUAAUAGAAUAGGAUGUCGAUCCUAUUUUGUUGGUUUUCGGGACUCGACAUAAUGAUAAAUAGGGACAGUCGGGGGCAUUUGUAUUCAAACGACAGAGGUGAAAUUCUUGGACCGUUUGAAAACAAACUACUGCGAAAGCAUUUGCCAAGAAUGUUUUCAUUAAUCAAGAACGAAAGUUAGAGGUUCGAAGGCGAUUAGAUACCGCCCUAGUUCUAACCAUAAACGAUGCCAGCUAGCGAUCUGCCUGCGUUUUUACUGUA